CAAAAUGGUCUUCGCAACUCGCCUCUAUAUUUUCUGCCCUGCUCCUAAGCCAGCCUGUUGGCCGACUGGCCCUUCUCCACAGAUGUCAUCUUGAGCCUCUUACAGAGUUUCAGCACUGACAUUAAUGACAAGAUGGAUCACCUACAGGACAACCUUGGAUCCUCAACCAGCCUGAUUAAGCAUUGACACUGCAUUUGUCACCACCAGCUCUGAUGGUUUGGACAUGUAGAAAUGUAUUGCAGGAGAAUAUGCAAACAGCUGCUGUAAGGUGAGCUGAUCGGGACAACUGCCAGCAGGCAGAAGGGAAGGCAUAAUUAAUGGGCACCCUUCAGCAGAGCUCAGAGCAGACCAAACGCCAAUGCAGAAGGCUCAAGAAAGAGGCAAACAGACUAGCCACUGCUCCAGGAUGACUGUGGCUCUUUAUGAGUGAAGAGAAAGGGUGGAGACUGAAGACAGAACUGGGGACAGUGACAGGCUUGGGGAAGAACAGCUGAUUCAGCAGUCCCAAGCAUCUGAACACAAGGUGGACAUUCUCCAGGGUGACAUCGCAAAAUACAUGGGUGAAGACAACCUAGUGGCCGUGACUUGGAGCACCCUUCCUCACAAUGAAGGCAUUCUGGGCCAGCCUGAAAAACAGCAUGGAAAUAAAUCACCUAAGUACAAGGGACCUCGGUGACAACGCUGUGAACAUCUAUGGAUUCCGCAUUCAAGUACUUUGUCACAACUGUCUCCACAAGUUGGUACAUCUUCUGUACAAGUUUGAUGGGUCCACGUGCCAGCA
This 781-nucleotide long non-coding RNA is filed under the name Homo sapiens (human). Its description in RNAcentral is "HSALNT0071983". Lineage: Eukaryota; Metazoa; Chordata; Mammalia; Primates; Hominidae. The record is from RNAcentral.